UGCCUCAGUAACGGCGAGUGAAGCGGCAACAGCUCAAAUUUGAAAUCUGGCACCCGCCCGAAUUGUAAUUUGCAGAGGAUGCUUCUAGGUCGCGGCCGGUCUAAGUUCCUUGGAACAGGACGUCACAGAGGGUGAGAAUCCCGUAUGUGAUCGGCUAGCACCUAUCACGUAGCUCCUUCGACGAGUCGAGUUGUUUGGGAAUGCAGCUCUAAAUGGGAGGUAAAUUUCUUCUAAAGCUAAAUACCGGCCAGAGACCGAUAGCGCACAAGUAGAGUGAUCGAAAGAUGAAAAGCACUUUGGAAAGAGAGUUAAAAAGCACGUGAAAUUGUUGAAAGGGAAGCGCAUGCUACCAGACUUGUCGGCGGUGUUCCGCCGGUCUUCUGACCGGUCUACUCGCCGCCGGCAGGCCAACAUCAUCUGGGAGCGCCGGAGAAAGGCGUCGGGAACGUAGCUCCUCGGAGUGUUAUAGCCCGGCGCACAAUACGGCGACCCCCGGGUGAGGUCCGCGCUUCGGCUUGGAUGUUGGCGUAAUGGUCGUUUGCGGCCCGUCUUGAAACACGGACCAAGGAGUCUACCAUCUAUGCGAGUGUUCGGGUGUCAAACCCCUACGCGCAAUGAAAGUGAACGGAGGUGGGAACGCAAGUGCACCAUCGACCGAUCCUGAUGUCCUCGGAUGGAUUUGAGUAAGAGCAUAGCUGGUGGGACCCGAAAGAUGGUGAACUAUGCCUGAAUAGGGUGAAGCCAGAGGAAACUCUGGUGGAGGCUCGCAGCGGUUCUGACGUGCAAAUCGAUCGUCAAAUUUGGGUAUAGGGGCGAAAGACUAAUCGAACCAUAAACCUAUUACUAGGUGGUUAAGAAUCACGAGAGAUUUAGGCCCCGAUCGGGGUCGACACCGUCAAAUUGCGGGGAGCCACUGAGGCCCGCCACUGCCGCUGGCGCCGGAAACGGUCGGUCAGCAGGGCGACCCAAACGGGUCCCCCCGGGGGCAGGGCGGGAUUGUGUGAUCCGCAGCCAAGUCCUACCGGUCCACACCCCCCGUGGACCACGGACGCCGUUCACAGACU
RNAcentral lists this ribosomal RNA (1064 nucleotides) under Nothodevriesia narthecii. RNAcentral describes it as "partial large subunit ribosomal RNA". It matches the Rfam family "Eukaryotic large subunit ribosomal RNA", at positions 76 to 1410 of the family's 3401-position model. Lineage: Eukaryota; Fungi; Ascomycota; Dothideomycetes; Mycosphaerellales; Teratosphaeriaceae. The record is from RNAcentral.